Molecule: non-coding RNA, 74 nt
Organism: Galeopterus variegatus (Sunda flying lemur)
Lineage: Eukaryota; Metazoa; Chordata; Mammalia; Dermoptera; Cynocephalidae
Source: the annotation of a RefSeq genome assembly
GGCCAGCUAGCUCAGUUGGUUAGAGUAUGGUGCUGACACCACCAAAGUUCAAGGUUCAAUCCCUACGCUGGCCA